This 1357-nucleotide ribosomal RNA is filed under the name metagenome. RNAcentral's name for it is "bacterial LSU rRNA". It matches the Rfam family "Bacterial large subunit ribosomal RNA", at positions 1546 to 2925 of the family's 2925-position model. The record is from RNAcentral.
GAGUUCAAUUCUGAGGCGUGAUGGGGUGGCCGCAAGGCUGGAAGCAACUGAUUUCACACUGUCAAGAAAAGCCGCUAGCGAGACCGUAGGUGCCCGUACCGCAAACCGACACAGGUAGAUGAGGAGAGAAUCCUAAGGUGAGCGAGAGAACUAUUGUUAAGGAACUCGGCAAAAUAACCCCGUAACUUCGGGAGAAGGGGUGCUCCGGAAACGGAGCCGCAGUGAAAAGUCCCAGGCGACUGUUUACCAAAACACAGGUCUCUGCGAAAGCGAAAGCUGAAGUAUAGGGGCUGACGCCUGCCCGGUGCUGGAAGGUUAAGGGGAUGUGUUAGGGCAACCGAAGCACUGAACUUAAGCCCCAGUAAACGGCGGCCGUAACAAUAACGGUCCUAAGGUAGCGAAAUUCCUUGUCGGGUAAGUUCCGACCCGCACGAAAGGCGUAACGAUCUGGGAACUGUCUCAACAAUAGACUCGGUGAAAUUGUAGUACCGGUAAAGAUGCCGGUUACCCGCAGCAGGACGGAAAGACCCCAUGGAGCUUUACUGUAGCUUGAUAUUGAGAUUCGGCGUUGCAUGUACAGGAUAGGUGGGAGACUGCGAGGUAAGUACGCCAGUAUUUACGGAGUCACCGUUGGGAUACCACCCUUGUAACGUUGAGUUUCUAACAUUGCGCCGUGAUCCGGCGCAUGGACAGUGUCAGGUGGGCAGUUUGACUGGGGCGGUCGCCUCCUAAAGAGUAACGGAGGCGCCCAAAGGUUCCCUCAGUGCGGUCGAAAAUCGCGCGAAGAGUGUAAAGGCAGAAGGGAGCUUGACUGCGAGACAGACAAGUCGAGCAGGGACGAAAGUCGGGCUUAGUGAUCCGGUGGUUCCGCGUGGAAGGGCCAUCGCUCAACGGAUAAAAGCUACCCUGGGGAUAACAGGCUGAUACCGCCCAAGAGUUCACAUCGACGGCGGUGUUUGGCACCUCGAUGUCGGCUCGUCUCAUCCUGGGGCUGAAGUAGGUCCCAAGGGUUGGGCUGCUCGCCCAUUAAAGAGGUACGCGAGCUGGGUUCAGAACGUCGUGAGACAGUUCGGUCCCUAUCCGCUGUGGGCGUUGGAGAUUUGAGUGGAGCUGUUCCUAGUACGAGAGGACCGGGAUGGACGUAGCUCUGGUGCACCAGUUGUUCUGCCAAGGGCAUCGCUGGGUAGCUACCUACGGACGGGAUAAGCGCUGAAAGCAUCUAAGUGCGAAGCCCCCCACGAGAAAAGAUCUCCUCCAAUUAUGGUAAGACCCGUGAGAGACUAUCACGUUGAUAGGUCGGAGGUGUAAGUGUGGUGACACAUUUAGCUGACCGAUACUAAUAGGUCGAAAACUUGAC